AUGCAGUUAAGCAAGCAUUCAUAUUGCAUUCAUCGAUGCAUGUUUGUAGUUAGCAAGAGAAUAGUAAAUACUAAAAAAAUACAUGUGAUAGUCAAAGAAAAAACUUGGUUGAAUGUUUGGUUGAGGUUGCAGCCAUUAAGUUUCUACUCUGUGAAGUAUCAAUCAAUUUGGUUGACAUUGAGGUUGGUUCAUGAUAUUGCACUGUGUUUUCUGUAUGCCCCCAUUGCCCCUAUCUAA
Molecule: non-coding RNA, 237 nt
Organism: Vicia faba (fava bean)
Lineage: Eukaryota; Viridiplantae; Streptophyta; Magnoliopsida; Fabales; Fabaceae
Source: the annotation of a GenBank genome assembly